RNAcentral lists this ribosomal RNA (301 nucleotides) under uncultured bacterium. Its description in RNAcentral is "partial 16S ribosomal RNA". It matches the Rfam family "Bacterial small subunit ribosomal RNA", at positions 509 to 807 of the family's 1533-position model. The record is from RNAcentral.
CAGUAGCCGCGGGAAUACGAAGGGGACUAGCGUUGUUCGGAAUUACUGGGCGUAAAGCGCACGUAGGCGGACAUUUAAGUCAGGGGUGAAAUCCCGGGGCUCAACCCCGGAACUGCCUUUGAUACUGGGUGUCUAGAGUAUGGAAGAGGUGAGUGGAAUUCCGAGUGUAGAGGUGAAAUUCGUAGAUAUUCGGAGGAACACCAGUGGCGAAGGCGGCUCACUGGUCCAUUACUGACGCUGAGGUGCGAAAGCGUGGGGAGCAAACAGGAUUAGAUACCCCCGUAGUCCCUGUCUCUUAUAC